RNAcentral lists this ribosomal RNA (607 nucleotides) under Tricholoma equestre. Its description in RNAcentral is "LSU rRNA". It matches the Rfam family "Eukaryotic large subunit ribosomal RNA", at positions 71 to 660 of the family's 3401-position model. The record is from RNAcentral. Lineage: Eukaryota; Fungi; Basidiomycota; Agaricomycetes; Agaricales; Tricholomataceae.
AGGAAUCCCCUAGUACUGCGAGUGAGCGGGAAAGCUCAAAUUUAAAAUCUGGGGGUCCCUGUGGCCCUCCGAGUUGUAAUCUAGAGAAGUGCUAUCCGCGCUGGACCGUGUACAAGUCUCCUGGAACGGAGCGUCAUAGAGGGUGAGAAUCCCGUCUUUGACACGGACUACCAGGGCUUAUGUGAUGUGCUCUCAAAGAGUCGAGUUGUUUGGGAAUGCAGCUCUAAAUGGGUGGUAAAUUCCAUCUAAAGUUAAAUAUUGGCCAGAGACCGAUAGCGAACAAGUACCGUGAGGGAAAGAUGAAAAGAACUUUGGAAAGAGAGUUAAACAGUACGUGAAAUUGUUGAAAGGGAAACGCUUGAAGUCAGUCGCGUUGCCCAGAAAUCAACCUUGCUUUUGCUUGGUGUACUUUCUGGUUAACGGGUCAGCAUAAAUUUUGACCGGUGGAUAAAGGUCAGGGGAAUGUGGCAUCUUCGGAUGUGUUAUAGCCCUUGGUUGCAUACAUCGAUUGGGAUUGAGGAACUCAGCAUGCCGCAAGGAAGGGUUUUUAACCACGUUACAUGCUUAGGAUGCUGGCAUAAUGGCUUUAAUCGACCCGUCUUGAAAC